UACGGAGGGUGCGAGCGUUGUUCGGAAUUACUGGGCGUAAAGCGCGCGCAGGCGGUUCUUUAAGUCAGGGGUGAAAGCCCAGAGCUCAACUCUGGAAUUGCCUUUGAAACUAGAGAACUUGGGUACGGGAGAGGUGAGUGGAAUUCCGAGUGUAGAGGUGAAAUUCGUAGAUAUUCGGAAGAACACCAGUGGCGAAGGCGGCUCACUGGCCCGUUACCGACGCUCAGGCGCGACAGCGUGGGGAGCAAACAGG
RNAcentral lists this ribosomal RNA (253 nucleotides) under uncultured bacterium. Its description in RNAcentral is "partial 16S ribosomal RNA". It matches the Rfam family "Bacterial small subunit ribosomal RNA", at positions 524 to 776 of the family's 1533-position model. The record is from RNAcentral.